UAGUGGCAGCGGCUUUUACUCAUUACCGGGCUGGUCUAGUUUAUCUCAAGUGGCGGGACCUGGAAGGUUGCUAAAAGAAUUAGUUGGAAGAUGAACCAGCAAGGAACUAAGGAAGGUGUCUGCUUGUUCAUGUUUAGGUUAUGUUUUAGGGUUGCUAAAUAAAUGUGGUCUGCAACUGAUGGCAGCCCUUGGUAUAAUGUGAAACCUUCUCAUUGUCAUCACAUACCCCGUGUCAUUGUCUGUAGGGUAUAUUUGUAUGGCAUUUAAAAUAUACAUUAAUGUAUAAUCUGUAGAUGUUGGGGAAACAGUGGAAGAUUAUAGAAGCAAAAGGUUAGCUGAAAGUAGUUAAAAUGUUUAUUGGGAUGGGUAAAUAUAUACUAUCCACUUCUUACGAGGGAUAAAUUACUUUUUGUUCAUUAUACUGUGGUUCGGUUUUUAUUGUGGUUAUCGAAAUUUUUUUUAUUACACUCGAAUAACUGUACUAUCAAAAAUUAUAAAAUGGUCAUUUUUUACGAUUUCCGUCCAAAAAAUGGACGGAAGUGCUGAGUUGGCAUACACGUGAUUUUUAAAUGCUGAUGUGUACAUAUUAUUAUUAAUUUUUAAAUAAUAGUAAUAAAAUAUUACAGCCAGUGUAUUUAUACCCUCUCUGUUCCAUAAUUAGACGCAAUAUUCAAUUUUUGAAAUUAAUCAAAAGAUUUUGGUCCAAUGGUUUAUCUCACCAUUGUUUUCCAAGAGGUUCAGGGUUCAGAAACUCCUUUCUUGUUGAAUGUACAUGUCCAUAAUAAAUUACUACCAACGUUGCGAUAAAAUAUAAUAAAUUAAAAUAAAAAAUUUCUUAAUUCAUAAUUAUAAUUUAACUAAAAACUUUUGAACUGUACAACAUGACUUCUGUAAUGUUUACCAUCAAGGAAAAAAAAAGAUGAAUUUAUUUUAGCUACUAAAUUAUAAAAUAAAAUUAUUUAGAAACACAUGUUUUGAACCAUUUUAUUAAUGUUUGAGCUUCCUAUUUCGGAAAUACAGAAAGGCUAAUUAAGCCAAAGAUGGUAGACGACGUAUCUGCUUACAAAAAGUUGAAAGGGCAAAAUAAGUUGUUGGGGGCUCCUUUGUCUAUUUUAAAGACUUACAAGCCAUAAGUGAUGGAGCAUCUGCUGUCGCUUUCUAGAAAAGUCGGUAGUUAUCGGCAAAAUCCCAGUACGCGCCAAAUUGGUGACUAAUAUAUGGAUAGCUAGAUAUUAGUAUAUAUUUUUUCUUGGCGGUCCGGCGGUCAUCAACUUGUUUUUUCGAUCUCUUUUGACUUGCAAAAAGUUUGACGAUUCUACUAAUUCAAACGUAUUCAAGAAAUAUGUAACUGAAACAUCUUCUCCUGCAGUAGUAGUCUGCUUAUUUUUAUCUACGGUGUGAUAUAUAUAUAUAUAUAUAUAUAUAUAUAUNNNNNNNNNNNNNNNNNNNNNNNNNNNNNNNNNNNNNNNNNNNNNNNNNNNNNNNNNNNNNNNNNNNNNNNNNNNNNNNNNNNNNNNNNNNNNNNNNNNNAAAGUCUAAACUCAGUCUUUAUGAGAACAAUGUAAAUCUUGGCUCAAUAUAUUGUCAAUAUUUUAAAUUCGUUUUUAGGAUGUGGAAUGUUGCUGUUCAUCAAAUAAUCUCACCGUAGGAGAAAGGUAGAUUGCUUGCCCACACAUAGGAUUGAUGUUGGAUUAGUAGUCUUAAUCCUCUUUAUGUUAAGCAAAUGCUGUUGGGUCGUGUAUGGUGCUCAUUCUCUCUGGAGCAGUUGAUAUAUUUAAUUAUUUUGCUUUUCUCUUGUUUCCUUCUCUCGUAAGUGUUGAUUUUUUCUCAGUUGUUCUUUCUAGCAUUAGUGGCCUCUAUGCUUUUAUUCAUGGGUUGCAAUCUUAAUACAAAAUUUAUAUAUAUUGGAAGUUAAAUAUAUUGGAAGGUCAAAUGUGACCUUAUAGUUCUCUAAUAAGGUACAUGGCCUCUAUGCUUUUAUUCAUGGGUUGUGCUAUGUGCACGUGUACAUGUUUGUAAGGAUGAGAAUUUACUAGUUUUAAUAAUUUUGAGGUGAUAAAGAGACUUGAAAUUGGAAGGUAUUCGGUAAUAUAUUAGAGAACUAUAAGGUCACAUUAUGAAAUAUUUUGAGAUAUUGCCUGUUUGAGACAGUAUCAGGGUGGUAUUAACUUGAAUAUGCAUAGAGUUACAUGAUAAGUGAAUACAAAUUAGAGGGGUUGGACGUGACAUUGAACACAGAGAACUGUUAUGGUUUCUAAAGUUUGAGAUAGUACGGUUGAAGAUUGUUUUCUUAGUAGUUGGAAGUUUACACAAUUUUAUGCAUUCAUAGGAUAUGUGAAAUUCAAAUGUUUAACCGAACUGAGGAAAUUAAAUCCUCAAGUCCCUGGGUAGUACUAUACACUCUGCAUUCCCUAUUAUAAGUUUCUUCAUAUAUUAAUUAAACCCCAGAUAUAGGUUUGCCACAUUUUUUUCAGACUUGAAAAAUAUCACCCUUUACCGCUACAAAAUGUUCUUUAUCCUUCUUUUCUGUUGAAGUUAAACGUGGCUAAUGUAGUUUCACGAUCUGAUUGUAUGCAGCAUAGCAUGAAGGAGGAUGUGGCGAACUUAAUAGCUCCCUUGAUGGUGAGGCCGAUUACCCGGUGGCCGUUCUUUGCCUUCUUGGGUGGGGCCAUGUUUUGCUUGUUAGCUAGCAGCACAUGUCACUUGCUCUCAUGCCACUCGAAGCGUUUGUCUUACAUCAUGCUUAGGCUUGACUAUGCUGGGAUUGCUGCCUUGAUCUCAACCUCCUUCUAUCCUCCUGUUUACUAUUCAUUCAUGUGCUAUCCCUUCUUCUGCAAUCUCUAUAUGGGAUUCAUAACUUUCUUGGGCAUAGCAACCAUCUUAGGUUCCCUCCUUCCAGUGUUUGAUAGACCUGAAUUUCGUACUGUUCGUGCGUCCCUAUUCUUUGGGAUGGGUUUAUCAGGGGUGGCACCCAUUCUGCACAAGCUCAUCUUAUUUUGGAACCAGCCCGAGGCACUUCGUACAACUGGGUAUGAAGUCUUAAUGGGAGUUCUCUAUGGGCUUGGAGCUCUGGUUUAUGCAAUGAGGAUUCCAGAGCGGUGGAUACCAGGGAAAGUCGACAUUGCAGGGCACAGCCACCAGCUAUUUCACGUGCUGGUAGUGGCAGCGGCUUUUACUCAUUACCGUGCUGGUCUAGUUUAUCUCAAGUGGCGGGACUUGGAAGGUUGCUAAAAGAAUUAGUUAGAAGAUGAACCAGCAAGGAAGGUGUCUGCUUGUUCCUGUUUAGGUUAUGUUUAGGGUUGCUACAUAAAUGUGGUCUGCAACUGAUGGCAGCCCUUGGUAUAAUGUAAAACCUUCUCAUUGUCAUCACAUACACCGUGUCUGUAGGGCAUUGAUUUUGAUCUAGGUUGAUAUUUGUAUGGCGUUUAAAAUUUAGCAUUUGACAUAUACAUUAAUGUAUAAUCUGUAGAUGUCGGGGAAACAGUGGAAGAUAAUAGAAGCAAAAGGUUAGCU
Molecule: long non-coding RNA, 3513 nt
Filed under: Panax ginseng (ginseng)
Lineage: Eukaryota; Viridiplantae; Streptophyta; Magnoliopsida; Apiales; Araliaceae
Description: long non-coding RNA (PGIN_LNC009018)
Source: RNAcentral